RNAcentral lists this long non-coding RNA (608 nucleotides) under Lathyrus oleraceus (garden pea). RNAcentral describes it as "Pisum sativum (pea) long non-coding RNA (PSAT_LNC034313)". The record is from RNAcentral. Lineage: Eukaryota; Viridiplantae; Streptophyta; Magnoliopsida; Fabales; Fabaceae.
AAACUUGUAUGUUUCUGAGAAGUUUAUUUUGUAUUGGUCAUUUUAAUACGUUCAGUUUAUUUAUUUAUUUUUUGGGGCAUUUUUGCGCCCGAUUAUUUAUUUAUUUAUUCAAUUUUUGUUCGAAUAAUUUCAUUUUUUGGCCAAAAUAAUUGGAAGAGAUAUUUAGAAUUAUAUGUUAUUUUUUAUUGGAUUUUAAUUUGUUUUUUUUAAUUUAAUUAAGUUAUUUCGUUACUAAAUUUUAAUUGAAGGACCAACCAUAAUGCAACACUUCAUCUUUUAUUUAUUUGUUUAUUUUUUUAUUUUUUUAUGCUAGAUUAUUUUAAUUUGGACCAUUAAAUUUGUGACACAUGGAAAUUGUUUAGAUUUUUUUGUUUUUUUCUUUCCACGUGACUCUCUCUCCUUUCUAUUUGUUUUGCCUCAAAUAUCUGAUAUCACGAGAAGAUAUUUGGUGCUUUUCUUUUUCACACGUGAAUUUUAAGACCUUUCUUUUAAAAAAAUAUCAAUCAUAACUCAUCUGCUAUGAAUCCAUCAUAACUCAUCUGCUACGAAUCCAUCAUAAAUCUUCUGCUGUCACAUCCAUCAUCAACUCUCAAAUAACAGACCAUCGA